UUCCGGUUGAUCCUGCCGGACCUGACUGCUAUCGGAUUGAUACUAAGCCAUGCGAGUCUUUGUAGUAAUACAAGGCAGACGGCUCAGUAACACGUAGUCAACCUACCCUAUGGACGAGAAUAAUCUCGGGAAACUGAGCAUAAUUCUUGAUAGAUCAUAAUGCCUGGAAUGGUUUAUGGUUAAAAUGAUUCGUCGCCAUAGGAUGGGACUGCGGCCUAUCAGCUUGUUGGUGAGGUAAUGGCCCACCAAGGCGAUUACAGGUACGGGCUCUGAGAGGAGAAGCCCGGAGAUGGGUACUGAGACACGGACCCAGGCCCUAUGGGGCGCAGCAGGCGAGAAAACUUUGCAAUGUGCGAAAGCACGACAAGGUUAAUCCGAGUGAUUUCUGCUGAAGAAAUCUUUUGCCAGUCGUAAAACCGCUGGUGAAUAAGGGGUGGGCAAGUUCUGGUGUCAGCCGCCGCGGUAAAACCAGCACCUCAAGUGGUCAGGAUGAUUAUUGGGCCUAAAGCAUCCGUAGCCGGCUUUGUAAGUUUUCGGUUAAAUCCAUGUGCUCAACGCAUGGGCUGCCGAAAAUACUGCAUAGCUAGGGAGUGGGAGAGGUAGACGGUACUCAGUAGGUAGGGGUAAAAUCCUUUGAUCUAUUGAUGACCACCUGUGGCGAAGGCGGUCUACCAGAACACGUUCGACGGUGAGGGAUGAAAGCUGGGGGAGCAAACCGGAUUAGAUACCCGGGUAGUCCCAGCUGUAAACGAUGCAGACUCGAUGAUGCAUUGGCAUAAUAGCCAUUGCAGUGUCGCAGGAAAGCCGUUAAGUCUGCCGCCUGGGAAGUACGUACGCAAGUAUGAAACUUAAAGGAAUUGGCGGGGGAGCACCACAAGGGGUGAAGCCUGCGGUUCAAUUGGAUUCAACGCCGGA
RNAcentral lists this ribosomal RNA (915 nucleotides) under uncultured archaeon. RNAcentral describes it as "bacterial SSU rRNA". It matches the Rfam family "Archaeal small subunit ribosomal RNA", at positions 1 to 922 of the family's 1478-position model. The record is from RNAcentral.